RNAcentral lists this ribosomal RNA (444 nucleotides) under Methylobacterium marchantiae. Its description in RNAcentral is "bacterial SSU rRNA". It matches the Rfam family "Bacterial small subunit ribosomal RNA", at positions 42 to 529 of the family's 1533-position model. The record is from RNAcentral. Lineage: Bacteria; Pseudomonadati; Pseudomonadota; Alphaproteobacteria; Hyphomicrobiales; Methylobacteriaceae.
UMMRGMMGCUUAMCAUGCAAGUCGAGCGGGCAUCUUCGGAUGUCAGCGGCAGACGGGUGAGUAACACGUGGGAACGUACCCUUCGGUUCGGAAUAACGCUGGGAAACUAGCGCUAAUACCGGAUACGCCCUUUUGGGGAAAGGUUUACUGCCGAAGGAUCGGCCCGCGUCUGAUUAGCUAGUUGGUGGGGUAACGGCCUACCAAGGCGACGAUCAGUAGCUGGUCUGAGAGGAUGAUCAGCCACACUGGGACUGAGACACGGCCCAGACUCCUACGGGAGGCAGCAGUGGGGAAUAUUGGACAAUGGGCGCAAGCCUGAUCCAGCCAUGCCGCGUGAGUGAUGAAGGCCUUAGGGUUGUAAAGCUCUUUUGUCCGGGACGAUAAUGACGGUACCGGAAGAAUAAGCCCCGGCUAACUUCGUGCCAGCCGCCGCGGUAAUACGGG